Molecule: ribosomal RNA, 200 nt
Filed under: uncultured bacterium
Lineage: Bacteria
Description: partial 16S ribosomal RNA
Rfam family: Bacterial small subunit ribosomal RNA
Source: RNAcentral
AGAGUUUGAUCCUGGCUCAGGAUGAACGCUGGCGGCGUGCUUAAUACAUGCAAGUCGAGCGGUAACAGAGGAAGCUUGCUUCCUGCUGACGAGCGGCGGACGGCUGAGUAACGCGUAGGAACGUACCCCGAAGUGAGGGAUAAGCACCAGAAAUGGUGUCUAAUACCGCAUGUGCUCCACGGAGUAAAGCUUCGGCGCUU